Molecule: long non-coding RNA, 191 nt
Organism: Papaver somniferum (opium poppy)
Lineage: Eukaryota; Viridiplantae; Streptophyta; Magnoliopsida; Ranunculales; Papaveraceae
Exons: 3
Source: RefSeq, a predicted model, not a curated record
GUGAAGAAAAUGUACCCUAAAAAUGGAUAAAUGGCAGCAAAGACAAUUGAGAGGAGACACACGAAUCAUGAGAAUCAAACAAAUGAUGGAGUUCACAUGCUCUAUAAUGGACAUAAUUUGACUACCCAAGUUAUUCAUCCGUCAGUUGCAUAUAGGACAGUGAUUCUCGAGAGGUUAAAAGAUGUGCAUAG